Molecule: ribosomal RNA, 429 nt
Filed under: Pseudomonadota bacterium
Lineage: Bacteria; Pseudomonadati; Pseudomonadota
Description: Proteobacteria bacterium partial 16S ribosomal RNA
Rfam family: Bacterial small subunit ribosomal RNA
Source: RNAcentral
UGGGGAAUAUUGGACAAUGGGCGAAAGCCUGAUCCAGCCAUGCCGCGUGUGUGAAGAAGGUCUUCGGAUUGUAAAGCACUCUAAGUUGGGAGGAAGGGCAGUAAGCGAAUACCUUGCUGUUUUGACGUUACCGACAGAAUAAGCACCGGCUAACUCUGUGCCAGCAGCCGCGGUAAUACAGAGGGUGCAAGCGUUAAUCGGAAUUACUGGGCGUAAAGCGCGCGUAGGUGGUUCGUUAAGUUGAAUGUGAAAGCCCCGGGCUCAACCUGGGAACUGCAUCCAAAACUUGCAAGCUAGAUUAGGGCAGAGGGUGGUGGAAUUUCCUGUGUAGCGGUGAGAGGCGUAGAUAUAGGAAGGAACACCAGGGGCGAAGGCGACCACCUGGGAUCAUACUUACGCUGAAGUGCGAAAGAGUGGGGAGCAAACAGG